Molecule: unclassified non-coding RNA, 391 nt
Filed under: soil metagenome
Description: partial contains 5.8S ribosomal RNA, internal transcribed spacer 2, and large subunit ribosomal RNA
Rfam family: 5.8S ribosomal RNA (bases 1-122)
Source: RNAcentral
GAUGAAGAACGCAGCGAAAUGCGAUACUUGGUGUGAAUUGCAGAAUCCCGUGAACCAUCGAGUCUUUGAACGCAAGUUGCGCCCGAAGCCACUAGGCCGAGGGCACGCCUGCCUGGGCGUCACACGCCGUUGCCCCCCCAUCUACUCCUUCGGGAUUGCGGGGGGGCGGAUGAUGGCCUCCCGUGCGCCUAGCCGCGCGGUUGGCAUAAAUACCAAGUCCUCGGCGACGCACGCCACGACAAUCGGUGGUUGCGAAACCUCGGUUGUCCGUCGUGUGCGUUCGUCGCGCAUCGAGGGCUCGAAAAAAUGCUCGGCUCCGGCUGGGCUUUCAACGCGACCCCAGGUCAGGCGGGGUUACCCGCUGAAUUUAAGCAUAUCAAUAAGCGGAGGA